This 5182-nucleotide unclassified non-coding RNA is filed under the name Leishmania donovani. RNAcentral's name for it is "gene:LdHU3.03.0600(CDS-product:DNA_repair_helicas e_putative)". The record is from RNAcentral. Lineage: Eukaryota; Euglenozoa; Kinetoplastea; Trypanosomatida; Trypanosomatidae.
UAUAUCGAAGAGCUGCACACGCACGCACACACACACGCACGGCUCUCUCUCUCUGUGUCGCCGCCCCGCCCCCAUCAUCAUCACCACCAUUGCCGUUGCCGUACCGAGCGGGGGUAAGCAAGGAGAGCGAGUUGCGUGAGUGGGUGGGAGAUGCUGCCCCAGCAACUUCAUCGACUUAGCUCUUGAUGGGGGCAGCAGUACGCGCCAACGCAUUCCACGUCGUCACACAUCACUGGUACGCAUACACAAUCUUGACGUCAUAGAACCGAUCAGGAUAGAGAACGAGGGAGACGCAUCUUCCGUGGGCGCACAGACGCACGUCGGCGCGUGCUGCCUCCAUCCUUCCAUCCCCUCCACUUCGCGGCACGAUGCCCCGCGUCGGCCCCUAUCAGAUACCCUUCCCCUAUGCGCCAUAUCCGCUGCAGGAACAUGCCAUGACAGCACUCCGCGACUACCUUGAACAGCAUCGAGGGGGCGAUCACACGGAGUGCACAAGCACUCGAUGCCGGGCGAGCCACGCCGCGUCAGCCACAGUGUCGAGGACUUCGCCGCCCCCAUCGCCCACGGUAGCAUCUACCAGCGGUAUUAGAAGCUUUUCAUCUCGCGUAGCGGUGCUCGAAUCGCCGACCGGCACCGGCAAGUCGCAGAUGCUGCUGAACAGCGUCCUCUCGUAUCUCUUCGAUCCUGUUGAAGACGCUAAGGAUGUUGACGGAACAGAGAGCGCGAGCGGCAGCAGCGUAGUUGCUGAGCCACCCGCUGCGAUGGCGACCGCUUCUGCUCAUGAGUCGGAAAGGGCCGCUCCGAGUCAUUCCCCGCCCUCACCGACUCUGGAAGAAGUGCUCCGUCAACGACAGCUGGAGGAAGAGAUGGUGCAGGUGCGUCGAGAGCGGCGCGCACGCGUUCGCGCGCAGCGGCGGCAGAUUCGGCAGGCCCGCAAGCUCAUGCGCUUCCAGCAGCAGCUGACCAACAGCGGUGACGAGCACGACUUUCUGCUCACACAAGACCCCCUCGCGUGGUAUGCAGAGCAGCUUCCAAUGAUGAAGACGGGGCUCCGUGGUGACGACCUCAUAGACCUGCGCAGCGCAAGCUCACUCUCUUCGUCUUCGUCAUCAUCAUCCUCGUCCUCAUCCGCGAGUGAUGACGAUGACGACGCGGAGGCCCAGCUUGAGAUGGCGCUCUCAACACUCAUUCCACUGCGCAAGCCGAAGGUCUACUUUGCCAGCCGCACCCACACGCAGCUGCAGCAGCUGAUGGAGGAUCUGCAGCGCACCGCCUUUGCCCGGCUACCGCUGCGACCGCGGCAGCGCAAAAUCGAGCCGCUGGAAAGCGCAGCUGGACGAACUGCGGGAGAGGUGAUGGGGGCUAACAACACAGAUGGCCGUGUUACCUCUUCAAAGUCCUUGGGCUCUCCUACCCGUGCGUGUCCUCCAGCGGCAGCAUCACCACCAAAGCCUUCGCGACAGCAGCAGCCGCGCCGUCUCACAGCCGUACACGUGGCUGGCAGACCGCACCUCUGCUUGAACGCAGCCCUGCGUCGCAAGGCUGGUGGCAACAAUGACCGCCUGAACUACUACUGCCGUGAGGCCAUGCACUUCGAGCGCUCGAAGCAGGGACGGCAGUACCGGCGCCAGAAGCAAGAGCACCCGCAACAUCAGCCGCCUCACCUCACCGGCAGCCCUGCCGUACGCAACAUCGAAGAUGCCACUGGGGUGCAGCAACAGCUGGAGGACGACAAGGGAUGCGUGUACUGUGUCGAGUCGCACCUUCGCUCCUUGAUGACGUACCUGCGUGACGAACAGCACCGUGCGGAUGCGGCCACAGACCCCGCCGACGCCGCCAGCGGCGGUGCCAGUGCUUCCGGCAACGGUGGCCCGCACUCUUCAGUCUACACCAUGGACCGCCUUCGGCGACUGGGGGCGGAGCUGCAGGCGUGCCCGUACCUCGCCACGCGCCUCCUCCUCCGGGGAGCCGACGUGGCAUUUAUCCCGUACGGCUACGUCCUCGACGAGGGCCAGCGAGCGGUGCUUCUCGGCGGCGCAGCAACGAACCCGGCGACGGCAGCAGAGGCGGCGGCGCUCUUUGCGACGCCCAGUCGAUCCACCCCGGCGACUGAGGGUGGCGGCGCCUUGCAAGACGAUGCCGCACCGCACAGCCCCCCGUCCCUCGGCACCGUUCUCUAUCAUCGGCGCCAGCGUGUCACGGCCACGGCGGCCUUCAGGCGGCGACGGCAGCAGCAGCGUGGUGCCGAUGUGAACGGGGGCGACGAAGAGGAGGAUGCGAUAUGGAGUACGAUGGCGCGCAGCGCACCGCCUUCCCUUUGCGGGGACAUCUUCGUAUUCGACGAGGCGCACAACAUCGCCGAUCACUGCCGCUCGGCCAGCGCCGUCACCGUCGCCCCAUGGCAUCUCCUGCUUGCUCGACGGCUCUUCGAGACGUACCUGGCGCGUUACGCGUCGCGACUGCUGACGCGCAACAAGCAGCGGCUUCGCGAGCUGGUCCAUUUUCUUAGCAAGCUGUUGGGCUUCUGCGAGCGCGCAGACUCUGCUGCCGUCCUCGGGGAGGGUGGGGGCGGAGAAGGCGACGUCGCACCAUCGCUCUCAGCGCCGUCAUCACCACUCGCGCGACUCCCCCAGCCAUCGACGACGACUCUGGCAACCGCCACGCACACGCGUGUCCUACCCUUCCACGCAUUUCUCUUCGAUGCCGGCAUCGACAGCGUCGACGUGUACGCGUUUCUGACCUUCCUGGUCGACUCGCAGCUGUUGAUGAAGCUGCAGGGGUUCGUCUCCUACACACUGGAUGCGGAGCUGCAGCAGGAAAAAGAGUCGGUCUCGAUAGCGACGAGAGCGAUGACGAUCGCCAGCGGCACGGACGGCAGCGCAGGCUCGACGGCUGGCAUGAAGCGGCAGCGUGGCAGCGGCGUCGGUGUAGGCGUCAGCGAUGCGCGCAAUGAGGCACAGCGGCAGCGGCGCCUCUUGGCGUCUCUCGACCUUCCCGGCAAUCACAAGAAGAUAGCUGAGGACGAAGUUGCACCUCCCCGCCUCUUUCUCGCGGAAUACCUCUCGCAGCAGCUGCAGCCGGCCGGUGUGGCGAUGACGGCGGCAGCGUACGCAGGCGCAGCCGCCCCGCCUGACCCCGUGCAGCUACGCGCGUUGACGGCCGAGGCGCUGCAGUGCGUCGAGCGACUUCUCUGUGCACUGUACGUCUCCGACACCACCUCGACGAGGGUGCUGUGGACGCCGCCAUCCCUGUCACCAGUGUCACCGGCACGGCCCGCAGGUUGCGCCGCGCGACAGGGGGCACUGAAGAUUAUACAGCUAGAGCCUGGUAUGUACACCUUCGCCCCACUGGUGCUGGAGGCGAGGGCUGUGGUGCUGGCCGGCGGCACAAUGCAGCCGCUGGCCUUCACAUGUGGGCCGCUGCUGCCCGCGCAGGCAAUGAUUGGUAGCGACGCUGGCGGUGAUUGUGGCACCGCGAACAAGAGUGAGCGAGCGGCCGUAGAGGUGACUGUUGAAGGAAUCGGCGGCAGCGACUACGCUCACCGCAUCGGCGCAUCGUUGCAGGGCGGUGUUGCACCCGCGCCUGGUCCGUCUGCCUUUCACCUCAUCUCCGAGGGCCACGUCGUGCCAUCGUCGUCAGUGCAAGUAUGGGCCCUCGGUGCCGGACCAAGCGGACUUCGGAUGGAGCUCAGCCAGCAGGCGCUCGGUCUUCGAAGCGAUGCCGCAAGUACGUCCAACGACACCGGCUCUCCACGCAUCGGUGUCAGCAGCAUCAUCAGCCCACACGCCCACCGUGUGCUAGCGGAGGUGGGGUGCACGCUGCUAAACCUCGCCCGAGUGCUUCCGCCCGCUGGCGCCAUCUGCUUCUUCACGUCGUACGACGUCAUGGACACCGUCGUGGCCGUGCUGGAGAGCACUGGCUACUACGCUCAGAUCAACGACGUAAAGCGAAUCUUCAAGGAGACGCGCAACGGCGGCGGCGGCGGAGGGCGGGGCACCGCCAACGGAACAGACGGAGGUGGCGGCGAGGCCAUCGCAGAGCUUCUGCGCGAGUACCAGGAGUGGAUCAGCGGUGAACCUGACAAUCACGGCGCUGCUGAGCGUGCGCCGGGACCGUCGUCGACUACCGCGUCCUCGUCUGUCUGUACAGCUGCCGCAUCCCAGCAGCGGCAGAAGUCGUCUCGUCACGGUGCCUUCUUGUUCGCCGUCAUGGGAGGUCGCCUGUCGGAGGGGAUCAACUUCGCCGAUGACCUCGGCCGCGCCGUCGUCGUGCUUGGCAUGCCGUAUGCGAACCCCACCGACGUGGAGCUGCAGAUGAACCUAAAGCACAUUGUCGCGACACGGCUAAGGACGAACGCCGACGCGGAUCGUCGCGGUAUGCGUGGGACGGCAGGUUCAGCAUCCACGCCCUCGCCCACAUCCUCGUCUCCGUUCACGUGCGCAGAGGAGUGGGGUUUGUACAUGGACAGCAUGAUGCGCACCGUCAACCAGUGCAUCGGCCGCUGCAUCCGCCACGCCGGGGACUACGCGACGAUCAUCCUGCUCGACGCGCGGUACACGGAGCGGCCGGACGCUCGCCGACGCGUCUCUGCGUGGCUGCAGCCGUCCAUGCGCGUAGCGCAGACGUUCGGCCAAUGCUUCAGCGGUGUCCGCGAGUUCUUCGCGGAGCGGCAGCCGAAGGGCUGAGCGGACUGUCUCCCCGAAAAGCAUGGUCCAAACCCGCGUGAAGUCGAUAGGUUAUGGGAAGUAACGUCCACAGCAACGCGAAUGACGGGAGCAGCAGCAUCCUCCACGGUGCCUGCAGGACGCGCUGGCGGCUCUCGGUAUCGGGGCACGCUUUCAGUAAUGAACGACAAGACGCAGAAGACGUGAGCAAGCGCGAGCGUGCGCAUGUGUGGGUUGCAUAUUGUGGAGUCGUGUGGACUGCAGCCGCAGGCGCAGCGGCGCUGGUGUCACCGCUCUCUUCGCCUCUUCCCUCCCGCACACGCUCACGUAAGGGCCAAUGCCCAGUCCGACACCCCCCAGACACAGACGCACACCUCAGCAUCCGGGACGUCGUCCGCACCCCCUCGCCUCUCUCCACCUCGCCUCUUUCCCUCUUUGUUGAUCCGCCGCUCUUCCCUCUUCCCCGCGGCCACACACACACACACACACGCACGCACGCACGCACGCGCGCACGCAAG